GACGAACGCUGGCGGCGUGCUUAACACAUGCAAGUCGAACGAUGAAGCCCAGCUUGCUGGGUGGAUUAGUGGCGAACGGGUGAGUAACACGUGGGCAACCUGCCCCAAACUCUGGGAUAACUCCUCGAAAGAGGUGCUAAUACCGGAUACGAACUAGACAGACAUCUGUACUAGUUGGAAAGUUUUUCGGUCUGGGAUGGGCCCGCGGCCUAUCAGCUUGUUGGUGAGGUAACGGCUCACCAAGGCUACGACGGGUAACCGGCCUGAGAGGGCAACCGGUCACACUGGGACUGGGACACGGCCCAGACUCCUACGGGAGGCAGCAGUGGGGAAGAUUGCGCAAUGGGCGAAAGCAUGACGCAGCGACGCCGCGUGAGGGAUGAAGGUCUUCGGAUCGUAAACCUCUUUCAGUAGGGACGAAGCGAAAGUGACGGUACCUAAAGAAGAAGCACCGGUUAACUACGUGCCAGCAGCCGCCGUAA
This 482-nucleotide ribosomal RNA is filed under the name uncultured bacterium. RNAcentral's name for it is "partial 16S ribosomal RNA". It matches the Rfam family "Bacterial small subunit ribosomal RNA", at positions 28 to 523 of the family's 1533-position model. The record is from RNAcentral.